RNAcentral lists this ribosomal RNA (450 nucleotides) under Klebsiella pneumoniae. RNAcentral describes it as "partial 23S ribosomal RNA". It matches the Rfam family "Bacterial large subunit ribosomal RNA", at positions 419 to 873 of the family's 2925-position model. The record is from RNAcentral. Lineage: Bacteria; Pseudomonadati; Pseudomonadota; Gammaproteobacteria; Enterobacterales; Enterobacteriaceae.
GGGACACGUGGUAUCCUGUCUGAAUAUGGGGGGACCAUCCUCCAAGGCUAAAUACUCCUGACUGACCGAUAGUGAACCAGUACCGUGAGGGAAAGGCGAAAAGAACCCCGGCGAGGGGAGUGAAAAAGAACCUGAAACCGUGUACGUACAAGCAGUGGGAGCACCUUCGGGUGUGACUGCGUACCUUUUGUAUAAUGGGUCAGCGACUUAUAUUCUGUAGCAAGGUUAACCGUAUAGGGGAGCCGCAGGGAAACCGAGUCUUAACUGGGCGUUAAGUUGCAGGGUAUAGACCCGAAACCCGGUGAUCUAGCCAUGGGCAGGUUGAAGGUUGGGUAACACUAACUGGAGGACCGAACCGACUAAUGUUGAAAAAUUAGCGGAUGACUUGUGGCUGGGGGUGAAAGGCCAAUCAAACCGGGAGAUAGCUGGUUCUCCCCGAAAGCUAUUUAG